This 253-nucleotide ribosomal RNA is filed under the name uncultured bacterium. RNAcentral's name for it is "partial 16S ribosomal RNA". It matches the Rfam family "Bacterial small subunit ribosomal RNA", at positions 524 to 776 of the family's 1533-position model. The record is from RNAcentral.
UACGGAGGAUCCAAGCGUUAUCCGGAUUUAUUGGGCUUAAAGGGUGCGUAGGCGGCUUAUUAAGUCAGGGGUGAAAGCCGGUGGCUCAACCAUCGCAGUGCCUUUGAUACUGAUGAGCUUGAAUACACUUGAGGUAGGCGGAAUGUGACAAGUAGCGGUGAAAUGCUUAGAUAUGACAUAGAACACCAAUUGCGAAGGCAGCUCACUACACAAUCAUUGACUCUGAGGCACGAAAGCGUGGGGAUCAAACAGG